RNAcentral lists this ribosomal RNA (492 nucleotides) under uncultured bacterium. RNAcentral's name for it is "partial 16S ribosomal RNA". It matches the Rfam family "Bacterial small subunit ribosomal RNA", at positions 29 to 507 of the family's 1533-position model. The record is from RNAcentral.
AGUGAACGCUGGCGGUAGGCCUAACACAUGCAAGUCGAACGGCAGCACAGUAAGAGCUUGCUCUUACGGGUGGCGAGUGGCGGACGGGUGAGGAAUACAUCGGAAUCUACUUUUUCGUGGGGGAUCACGUAGGGAAACUUACGCUAAUACCGCAUACGACCUACGGGUGAAAGCAGGGGAUCUUCGGACCUUGCGCGAUUGAAUGAGCCGAUGUCGGAUUAGCUAGUUGGCGGGGUAAAGGCCCACCAAGGCGACGAUCCGUAGCUGGUCUGAGAGGAUGAUCGGCCACACUGGAACGUAGACACGGUCCAGACUCCUACGGGAGGCAGCAGUGGGGAAUAUUGGACAAUGGGCGCAAGCCUGAUCCAGCCAUACCGCGUGUGUGAAGAAGGCCUUCGGGUUGUAAAGCCCUUUUUUUGGGAAAGAAAAGCAGCAGGUUAAUACCCCGCUGUUCUGACGGUACCCAAAGAAUAAGCACCGGCUAACUUCGUG